CACAGGGCUUUUUUGUGCAUGCUAUUUUGUUAUGUGUAGCCUAUAGUUGGAAGGGUUUCCUAUCUUUCUCUGCUAUUGGUUUUAUCAUAUGUUUUAUCUAUUCUUUAUUCUCCUUCCUCUCUUAGAAGGGAAUAAAGCUAAAGAGUUCCAAAGUAGUUUGUGAAACUGUAUUUUGAAAGACUUAAAAAUUAGCAAAGAAAUAUAGCCCAGAAACUGACCAAGGCUACUACUAUGACUUAGUGCUUGGAAUUUACCAGUCACCAACAAUUACUCCCUUCCAAGGCCAUAAGAUAACUGGGUACCAAGAAUUCCCAGAUGGCCACCCUCCCCAAGGGGCUCAUGAACGAAACAGAUUGCCCCACCGGCCAAUGUGUCAAUAAUUAACAAUUAAGGGUCCCUGUGAAACGAAGAGAUAGAUAGCUACCAUUAGUUAGCACAUCCUGAGGUCUGCAGGUUUUACAACUGGUGGGGUCAGGAGGCUAUCUGAUUCUCAGGCCUCCCCUCAAGACAAAGGGCUUCCUAGGAACUCAUGACUCAUGGGUUCAAUGGACAGAGAGUCGAAGCCCCUCCCUAAGCUUAUGGUUUUUGCUUUUAAAAACGCCUGUGCCUGGGGGACGGGGCUGCUCUCUAGCCUGCAUGCUGAAAGAGCCCGUUUGUACAAACGUCCACCUUUCAUUAAAGCCUCUUGCUGUUUGCAUCAAGUUUCUGCCUUCUCAUGGUGAUUGGGAUGGCCGCAGUCCUGGGAAAAGAUUCUGGAGGCCUGAACUUCCAGGGGGGUCUUACAAUUUUACUUGCACCUGACAUGAAGGACCACUUCUAAAGAAUGCAUUUAUUUCAUAGCACUCCAUUUUUUGUACUGUUCAGCCAAGAAUUAUUCUACAUAAAGUAUAUAAAUAAAAACAGAGGUACAUCUUUUUGUGACAAGGUUAUUAAAUUUAUAAGACUCAGAUUCUGUAGCAUCCAAGUAAGAUUAAGAAUAAAGCAGCAAGCCAGGCGGUGGUGAUCCCAUGCCUUAAUCUCAGCACUCAGGAGGCAGAGGCAGGUGGGUCUCUGAGUUUGAGGCCAGCCUGGUCUUCAAAGAAAGUUCCAGGAUGGUCUCCAAACCUACAGAGAAACCCUGUCUCGAAAAACCAAAGAAAAGAAAAAAUAAUAAUAAUAAAGCAUACCCUAAGGCUAUGUGGCUCUUAGGGCAAGUUUUUAGUUACUCAUUCAGCAACACUAGUGGUCACUAGCAUAAAUUUCCUAGCCUCUCAUAGGAGAGGUAUCUAUAUCCCUCACGGACAAGACUGCAAUCACUUCUUUACAGACUUCACUUGUUCAGAGGACCAAGAGUGUGAAAGUCAAAGCCAGGCUCUUUCAGUUCCCCAGUCAGGCCUCACAAGCAAGGAGAUUUCUGUUCCCCUUGUAUGGAGAUCAUUGCUGACUUCCAGGUUAUUGCUAAUUCACCUUUAUUCCAAAGCCUUUGUUUGUUUUUCCACUGUGGAUUCUUUGUGGACGUUACAAGGUGGACAUUAUUACCCUUCCUUCCCCUCCUCUGACUUCCUCUUAGCUAGAAUGCUAAGUACCUACUGAGCAAACAAUGGUUUGUCUGUCUCACCAAGGUAAGCACAAAUACUUUGUGAAGAUGUGAAAGAGCCACCCUCUUGCACAUGGGACUAUCCUGUGCUGCCAUUUAUACUCUGGAAAACAGAUUUCAAUAAUACUUUAAAAUUUUUUAAGAAAAAAAAAACAAGAUUAGGUGAGUAUUAUCAAGCAUCCGAUUCAUCUCUUUACAUGCAGACCCCCACCUUGGUGCUUUAAUGAAACAUCCCCACCAGAGGAAGUAAUCUCUUUUCCCUUUGUGAUGUACUGUGGAACCACAGAGAAGGGUAUCACCCAUGGUUAAUCCUCUGUGGAUGUUUAAUCAUCUACAGAGGAACAGCUGGUAUCCAGUCUAACAGAUGUGGAUCAGAUAUUAUAGUUUAGCCUUAGUCCAAAUUCCAAGACAGUCUGGUUUUCCUUAUUCAGGAAACUUUUCUUAGGUGAAGAGGCGUAAGUCAAAGAAAAUGGGAGACCAAAACCUUGGCUACAUAGUGAGUUCAAAGCCAGGCUAGGUGAUUUCAGCACCAUAUAAAUGAAAAAAAGAAAAGGACAGGACUGCUCCUAGGUGUAGUGGAGAACGUUUAUUGCUGAUAUGUGGGAGGGCAUAGCCAGGGGCAGCACAUCUGGGACAGUUCAGAGUAGACAUGCUCAGACUGAGCUGUUCCAUGACCAGAGGGGAGGACAAGGGAGAGGGAAGAGCAGGGGAACCAGGUACAGCAGCCAGGAGGCCCAAAGGUACAAAGAGAGCAUGAGCAAAAUGGUUGGAUUACAUAGGGAAGGGCAUCUGGGGCAAGGGAAGCCAGAUGGAGAGUUCAGAGUAGGGGGCAGGAUAUGCCAGCCAGGAAGACCCUGUAACAGGUAGGGGCUGAGGGAUGUUAGGGAGACCCUGAUGGACAGGUUCAAUUUGAUGUGUUAAAUAGGCACCGCAGCCAUUUGUUCCAGGUUUGAAACCUAACACUUCUCUUGAAGUUCAAAUGGAAGGUGCAGCUCUGACUGCAGAUCAUAAGCAUUUGCUUUGAAAUCUUGGCUCUGUUGAAGAAAAUGUGGAAACUCUAAGAGACGCUCACCGAGAUGUGUUCCCAAAAGAAGCGAAAGAAGCACAUUAUCAGCUUAGGAGUGAGGAAAGGACUCUGUCUCAGAGUUUUUAUUUCUGUGAUGAAACAUUGUGAUCAAAAGCAGCUUGAGGGGAGGGCAAGGGUUUAUUUCAGUUUACAACUUUCAGGUCACACUCUAUUGGUGGGGGAAGUCAGGGCAGGAAUUUAAGGUAGCAAGCUGGAGGCAGAGCUGAAGCAGACAGAAGGCAUAGAGGAAAGCUGAUUUCCAUAGCUUACUCAACCUGUUUUUAUCUACAACUCAGGGUCACCAGUCCAGGGGAGUGUGGUGAUAUAUUAUUUAUGAUUUACUAAAGCUUGCCUUAGGGUUCAGAAAGCAAAGCUGCUGAGGCCAUAGAGGUCAGGCAAUGAUGAUACACACCUUAAAUCCCAGCAGCCAUACUAGCUAGCCAUAGAGCCAGGCAGUGGUGGUGCAUACCUUUAAUACCAGGACUCAAGAGACAAACGGAUCUCUGUUAGUUCAAGGCCACACUGAGCUACAUGAAAUUGAUCCAGUCUUAAGGAGAAACAGCUCAACACAAAGGUGGUCUCAGCACUUGGGUUCAAAUGCCUUUAAUCCCAGGAUUUGAGAGGUAUAAAAAGAAGAUUUAGUCUCCAGCCACCUUGAGGAGAGGUAGCAAUGUAGGAUUGCAGUCUGAGAAUUCAUGAAGGCAGGAUUGCCAUUUCAGCCUGAGGUAGAGGUAAGAUCUACUGUCUUGGCUGCUUUGCUUUAUCUUCAGUUUGGAGCUUGAACCCCAAUAUCAGUCUCUGGGUUUGUAUUGUUCAUGUUCCAGCAGUGAUACUGCCCUCCUACAUCAAUCAUUAAUCAGGAUCAUAUGCCACAGUUUACAAUCUGAACAUGAUAGUGGGAAAUAUAAUAGUGAUAAGCAGGUCUGAAGUUCAGCUGAAAUUUGGGAGUAAAGUCAUAAACUCCAGGAACACUGAUAAUACAAAUAAGGGAGCUGACAAAAGGGAUCACCGGCUGAGUCCUGGAAACGGAGUCACCCCAGGAUUCAGUGGAGAAUGGUGAAGGAUAAGGGACUCUUGUCAGAGCAGGGUCAAAAGAAUGACACAAGGUGAACAAUGACUUGAACUGUGAGAGGCUCCAGGAAAAAAAGGCAGAGAGAGGGACUUUUACCUCAAAUACAUAUUGUUCCCUGGAUUGUUUUUGGACAUGAUUUUGUGCCUCCUGUUGCAAAUAUUUGCAUCAAUUUAUAAAAUCUGUUUAUUCUUAUUGGAUGUCGAAACAUAGCUAUAGAACCCAAUCUGGUGAAAGGAAACGCUGAGUGCUGUCCUCACUGUACCCCUAAUCUGGACAUGGCCUUUUGCCUUGCUUUUGUGUUUUACCAGAUAUAAUGUAUAGUACAUGCCAGGUAAUUUUUUUUUAAUUGACUUGUCCUGAGAAAGUUCUGUUAAUAUUUAGUAUGUGCUUACUGGUGUUUAUUUAUGUUUUUCUGAACUCAAACAAUCUUCCUUGGAUCAUUGCUUUCCUUGUUACAUUCAUAUAUAAAAGUACACUGAAACUCCAGUAAGGUUGUCUAUAGCAUUAGACUGUAGUCCACCCCAUUUUUUCAGGUCCUCCAAUCCCAGACUCUCAGACAGAUCUGCAUAGGUUGGCAAAAGCUGACAAGUGGUGCCCGAAUCUGGGACCUGAAUGAAAAGCUAAGAGAGGACAUGAGGACCCCUGCAGAAGGAGGUAGUCAGUUGUCUUGUGGUUGAUGGAGAGGCAGAAAUACUUACUGUUAAGCAACUGCCAUAUGAGAAUGCUAAUGCUUCAUGCCAGACAGCAUUCAUCCCUUUUGGAAGAAAGGAGAUACCGAUGAUUACAACUACCUAUGUGCUGAAUUGGGCUUUUGCAUACUCAAGGCUAACUCUGGAUACACCCCUCCAAGGACAGACAAUGCCUCAAUUAUUGGCAGUCAUUCAACAAGGAAAAGGAAUGAAUAAUGACAAAUAGCCCAACUUUAUGUCAAAAGUUUGUUGCUGCUGCUGCUUUAAAAGAAGCUAAAGUACAAUUUACUCUGUCACUAUAU
RNAcentral lists this long non-coding RNA (4705 nucleotides) under Cricetulus griseus (Chinese hamster). RNAcentral describes it as "lncRNA (ENSCGRG00015030519.1)". Lineage: Eukaryota; Metazoa; Chordata; Mammalia; Rodentia; Cricetidae. The record is from RNAcentral.